GAUGAACGCUAGCUACAGGCUUAACACAUGCAAGUCGAGGGGUAACGAGAGGAAAGCUUGCUUUCCUUGUCGACGACCGGCGCACGGGUGAGUAACGCGUAUCCAACCUGCCCCCAACUAGGGAAUAACCUUGCGAAAGUAAGACUAAUACCCUAUAAUUUCCUCAGAUGACAUCUGACGAGGAAUAAAGAUUUAUCGGUUGUGGAUGGGGAUGCGUCUGAUUAGCUUGUUGGCGGGGUAACGGCCCACCAAGGCAACGAUCAGUAGGGGUUCUGGGAGGAAGGUCCCCCACAUUGGAACUGAGACACGGGUCAAACUCCUACGGGAGGCAGCAGUGAGGAAUAUUGGUCAAUGGGCGGAAGCCUGAACCAGCCAAGUAGCGUGCAGGAUGACGGCCCUAUGGGUUGUAAACUGCUUUUAUACAGGAAUAAAGUUAGCCACGUGUGGUUAUUUGUAGGUACUGUAUGAAUAAGGACCGGCUAAUUCCGUGCCAGCAGCCGCGGUAA
This 506-nucleotide ribosomal RNA is filed under the name uncultured bacterium. RNAcentral describes it as "partial 16S ribosomal RNA". It matches the Rfam family "Bacterial small subunit ribosomal RNA", at positions 28 to 523 of the family's 1533-position model. The record is from RNAcentral.